Molecule: ribosomal RNA, 397 nt
Filed under: uncultured bacterium
Lineage: Bacteria
Description: partial 16S ribosomal RNA
Rfam family: Bacterial small subunit ribosomal RNA
Source: RNAcentral
AUACGUAGGGGGCGAGCGUUGUCCGGAAUGAUUGGGCGUAAAGGGCGCGUAGGCGGCCUGUUAAGUCUGGAGUGAAAGUCCUGUUUUCAAGAUGGGAAUUGCUUUGGAUACUGAUGGGCUUGAGUGCAGGAGAGGUUAUCGGAAUUCCCGGUGUAGCGGUGAAAUGCGUAGAGAUCGGGAGGAACACCAGUGGCGAAGGCGGGUAACUGGACGGCAACUGACGCUGAGGCGCGAAAGUGUGGGGAGCAAACAGGAUUAGAUACCCUGGUAGUCCACACUGUAAACGAUGAAUGCUAGGUGUAAGAGGUAUCGACCCCUUUUGUGCCGGAGUUAACACAAUAAGCAUUCCGCCUGGGGAGUACGGCCGCAAGGUUGAAACUCAAAGGAAUUGACGGGG